UUAGAUUUUAUUUAUUAAUUUUAUUUAUUUAUUUAAUUUAUUUAAUAAAAAUAAUUUUAAAAUUUUAAGUUUUAGUAUUUUAUAAAGAAAAAAUAAUUUUAAUUAUAGUUUAUUUGUAUUGUAAAAGAAAAUUGAAAUAAUUUGAAAAAUUUUUAUUUUAAAAGAAAAUUUAAUUUAUUGUACCUUGUGUAUCAGGGUUUAUUAAAUAAAAAAUUAUUAUAUUAAUUUUUCUCGAAUUUUAAAGAUUUAAUUAUAUAUAAAAGUUACUGUGGAAUAAUUAUUUUUAAUAUAUAAUUAGAAAUGAAAUGUUAAUCGUUUUAAAAUAUAUCUAGUUUUUUAAGAAAUAAAUUUAAUUUAGAUUUAUAAAUUUAAAUUAUUUAAUUAUUUUAAAUAAUUUAUUUUAUAAAAUUAAUAUUUUAAGGGAUUAGCUUUAAAAUAAAUUUUUAAAUUUUAAAUUAAUUAUUUAAUAAAUAUAAGCUUAAAAAUAGCUAUUAUUAAUAAAUUUGUUAUAAUUUAUUUUAAAAAUUUAAUUAUUUAAUAUAAAAUUAAAUUAUUUAUUAAAAUAUAAAUUUUAAUAGUAAAAAUUUAUAAAUUAUGAUAAAAUUAGUAUAUAAAAUUUUUAUAAAUAAUUAUUUAUGAAAGGUUUAAAUAAGGAAUUCGGCAAAAUAUAUAUUCACCUGUUUAUCAAAAACAUGUCUUUUUGAAUUAAAUUUAAAGUCUAACCUGCCCACUGAUAAAAAUUAAAGGGCCGCGGUAUCUUGACUGUGCGAAGGUAGCAUAAUCAUUAGUCUUUUAAUUGGAGGCUUGUAUGAAUGGUUGAAUGAGAUAUAUACUGUCUUUUUUAAAAUUAUAUAGAAUUUUAUUUUUUAAUUAAAAAGUUAAAAUAAAAUUAAAGGACGAGAAGACCCUAUAGAUCUUUAUUUUUGUUAUUUAUUAGUUAAAAAGAAUUUUAAAACUUAUAUUUUAAUAAAAAAUUUUAUUGGGGUGAUAUUAAAAUUUAAAAAACUUUUAAAAUUUAUUAACAUUAAUAUAUGAAUAAAUGAUCCAGUUUUAUUGAUUAAAAAUUUAAGUUACCUUAGGGAUAACAGCGUAAUUUUUUUUUAGAGUUCAUAUCGACAAAAAAGAUUGCGACCUCGAUGUUGGAUUAAGAGUUAUUUUUAGGUGUAGAAGUUUAAAGUUUAGGUCUGUUCGACCUUUGAAUUCUUACAUGAUCUGAGUUCAAACCGGCGUAAGCCAGGUUGGUUUCUAUCCUUAAUUAAUUAUUAUAUUAUAGUACGAAAGGACCUAAUAUAAAAAAUAUAGAUUUUAAUAAUAUGAUUAAUAUUAAUAUUAGAUA
Molecule: ribosomal RNA, 1336 nt
Filed under: Culex bilineatus
Lineage: Eukaryota; Metazoa; Arthropoda; Insecta; Diptera; Culicidae
Description: 16S ribosomal RNA
Rfam family: Archaeal large subunit ribosomal RNA (bases 1081-1240)
Source: RNAcentral